UGGUCGCAUUUAGUAACUGCGAACAGCUCCAAACCACGGGUUUGAAAAUUACACACUUAUCUUUUAAAAUAAGUUAAAACUUCGUGCAUUUUCUUUCGAUAAAUUAGCUUAUUAUUUCAAAUUUUCAAAGAACUCAGACACAGCAGCCCAUGUCUUCUCCCUCGUCUCGCCAUUUUUCUCUGAAAAUGGCUAAUCGUUGCUGAAAUUCUUCAAUAAACAGUCACUCAUCUUCUACCUCUGAUUUUCGCGAGAAACACAUCAUGCCUUUCCUCCUCCAAGUUUCGAGUCUGGGACCAAAAACAAGGAAAUCAGAACCAACAUUCUCUUCUCCUAUUAUUCGAAUUAGGGCAAAACUAAACUUCAAUCAUCUUCUACCUUGAGUUCUCACAAGAUCCAUUGCAAGCCAUCUUCUCUUGCCGUCAUUUUCGGAUGAACCAAGACACUCCAUGGAUGGUCUAUUCUUCUUGUUGAUUAAACAAAAUUAUGUUUUGAAUCUUCUCAAUCUCUAUGUGUUAUUUUACUCCUUUUUCUUAUUCUUUUGUUUUCCUCUCAAGAAUCAAGCCAUAGGCUUCAAUUGAUAUGAGUUUCGAGCAACAUUAAUGGUAGUGGGCCUUCCCUUCCAUUGAAGGAUUAUUCAAGCAAUCAGCAGCCGAAAUCCUCCUUUCUUGUGCCUCUGAAUCUGCCGCAAACCAAGGAAGCCAACACCAACUUUGUUUCUAUUGAUUUUGCAUCAAAAAUCAGAACAACCUUAUCUCUUGUUGCUCCUAAUUCCUGCCGCAAACAAUUGUUUACAGAUUGGUACCGGCAGGGAAUGAUGGGAUAACGGAGGUGAUUAAAGUUUACAUGGAAGGCAUAUUGAAUUGAGUAUGUGAGAAGUUGUACUGUUGUAUUGGGUUUUUAGUAAGUGUGCUGUAGAUUUGAUUAUGUUGACUUGGACUUUUAUGGUGACAUGUAUGAUUACUUUGAAUUUUGGUUUAGAUGUUUGGACUGAGGAUUAGUUAUUACAAUUAUGUUUUAGA
Molecule: long non-coding RNA, 1019 nt
Organism: Amaranthus tricolor (Joseph's coat)
Lineage: Eukaryota; Viridiplantae; Streptophyta; Magnoliopsida; Caryophyllales; Amaranthaceae
Exons: 2
Source: RefSeq, a predicted model, not a curated record